This 294-nucleotide long non-coding RNA is filed under the name Pollicipes pollicipes. RNAcentral's name for it is "uncharacterized LOC119096348, transcript variant X2". Lineage: Eukaryota; Metazoa; Arthropoda; Thecostraca; Pollicipedomorpha; Pollicipedidae. The record is from RNAcentral.
AACAUGAUACGAUAAGACCACAUUCAUGGUACAUUGAUAUGUUGGUGUUGGAUGUUCAGAGACGUAGUACUGUAAUGAAAAGAAAUGUAGAUGAUUUGUUUGGUACCAGCUGCUAGUUUCCUGCUCACAUAUUAUUGGUUCCUUCAAGUAACUGACUCAAACAUCUAAACUACCACUAUGGCUGCCAACUUUUGGAGUGGAGAAGCCAUUACAGCUGAGCGAAAGGACAUACCGUCGGCCAGCUGUAUGGCGGUGAGCCAGGACGGCGGCCACGCGCUGCUGGCCAGCCGGCGC